RNAcentral lists this ribosomal RNA (414 nucleotides) under Brucella tritici. RNAcentral's name for it is "bacterial SSU rRNA". It matches the Rfam family "Bacterial small subunit ribosomal RNA", at positions 29 to 490 of the family's 1533-position model. Lineage: Bacteria; Pseudomonadati; Pseudomonadota; Alphaproteobacteria; Hyphomicrobiales; Brucellaceae. The record is from RNAcentral.
AACGAACGCUGGCGGCAGGCUUAACACAUGCAAGUCGAGCGCCCCGCAAGGGGAGCGGCAGACGGGUGAGUAACGCGUGGGAACGUACCUUUUGCUACGGAAUAACUCAGGGAAACUUGUGCUAAUACCGUAUGUGCCCGAAAGGGGAAAGAUUUAUCGGCAAAGGAUCGGCCCGCGUUGGAUUAGCUAGUUGGUGAGGUAAAGGCUCACCAAGGCGACGAUCCAUAGCUGGUCUGAGAGGAUGAUCAGCCACACUGGGACUGAGACACGGCCCAGACUCCUACGGGAGGCAGCAGUGGGGAAUAUUGGACAAUGGGCGCAAGCCUGAUCCAGCCAUGCCGCGUGAGUGAUGAAGGCCCUAGGGUUGUAAAGCUCUUUCACCGGUGAAGAUAAUGACGGUAACCGGAGAAGAAG